AACGAACGCUGGCGGCAGGCUUAACACAUGCAAGUCGAGCGCCCCGCCAGGGGAGCGGCAGACGGGUGAGUAACGCGUGGGAACGUACCUUUUGGUUCGGAACAACUCCGGGAAACUGGAGCUAAUACCGGAUAAGCCCUAACGGGGAAAGAUUUAUCGCCGAAAGCUCGGCCCGCGUCUGAUUAGCUAGUUGGUGAGGUAACGGCUCACCAAGGCGACGAUCAGUAGCUGGUCUGAGAGGAUGAUCAGCCACACUGGGACUGAGACACGGCCCAGACUCCUACGGGAGGCAGCAGUGGGGAAUAUUGGACAAUGGGCGCAAGCCUGAUCCAGCCAUGCCGCGUGAGUGAUGAAGGCCUUAGGGUUGUAAAGCUCUUUUGUCCGGGAAGAUAAUGACUGUACCGGAAGAAUAAGCCCCGGCUAACUUCGU
RNAcentral lists this ribosomal RNA (430 nucleotides) under uncultured bacterium. RNAcentral describes it as "partial 16S ribosomal RNA". It matches the Rfam family "Bacterial small subunit ribosomal RNA", at positions 29 to 506 of the family's 1533-position model. The record is from RNAcentral.